This 238-nucleotide ribosomal RNA is filed under the name Saccharomyces cerevisiae (brewer's yeast). RNAcentral describes it as "partial large subunit ribosomal RNA". It matches the Rfam family "Eukaryotic large subunit ribosomal RNA", at positions 104 to 339 of the family's 3401-position model. Lineage: Eukaryota; Fungi; Ascomycota; Saccharomycetes; Saccharomycetales; Saccharomycetaceae. The record is from RNAcentral.
AAAGCUCAAAUUUGAAAUCUGGUACCUUCGGUGCCCGAGUUGUAAUUUGGAGAGGGCAACUUUGGGGCCGUUCCUUGUCUAUGUUCCUUGGAACAGGACGUCAUAGAGGGUGAGAAUCCCGUGUGGCGAGGAGUGCGGUUCUUUGUAAAGUGCCUUCGAAGAGUCGAGUUGUUUGGGAAUGCAGCUCUAAGUGGGUGGUAAAUUCCAUCUAAAGCUAAAUAUUGGCGAGAGACCGAUA